UCUUCUUUCUGUUUCUGCUAAUGCAAACAACACUGUUCUUAAAUCUGUAAAUUCUGAUAUACAGCUUUGGCAUGCUAGACUAGGCCAUUGUAACUACAAUACUGUUAAAAUAGUUUUACAAAACUGUAAUAUUCAAUUUGAUGGUUGCAAACAGUUUUGUGAUGCAUGUGUAUUUGGCAAAGCUACUCAAAUGCCUUUUAAA
This 202-nucleotide long non-coding RNA is filed under the name Phaseolus vulgaris (common bean). Its description in RNAcentral is "long non-coding RNA (PVUL_LNC003101)". The record is from RNAcentral. Lineage: Eukaryota; Viridiplantae; Streptophyta; Magnoliopsida; Fabales; Fabaceae.